AUGGAUGAAGAUGACAAAGUUGUUUCACAGGAUGAAGAAACUGUAAUUGUACAUGAAGAGAAGAAGAAGAAGAAACAGAAGCUUCCAGUUAGGAAAGGGCCUACAACAAGGACACAUUCAAGUGUAGUUCAAGAGGAGGAACCUGAUUUCAAACCUUCAUCUGAUGAAGAAGAGAAAGGAUUGUUGAAGGAGGCCGAUGAUGAUGGUUAUGAGCCAUUGUCAUUUGUGCUGCCAAAGAAAAGGAAGAGCAGGGCAAAGCAGAGGCCUCCUAGAAAAUGGUACAAUGAGAAAAUGGAGGCACCACAUGAGCAAUUAUGUCUAAAGAUGUGUUUCUUGGAUCAACAUCAAUUCAGAGAGGCUUUGUUGAACUUACACAUCACUCAAGGCAGAAACUUCAGAUAUCAUAGGAACUCAGAUCAAAGAAUAAUUGUAGAGUGCAACCAAAAAUAUUGCAACUUCUUUAUGGUGGCAGCAGUUAUAAAAGGUGAAACUACUUUUUUAGUUAAGAAGAUGAGAAUUAAGCACACUUUCCCUAUUAGUACAGAGACAACAAGGGUAAGUGCUAAGUGGCUUGCACAGAAGUAUGAGUCACUGUUCAGAUCUGAUCUAACAACUGGCAUUCAGACUUUGAUUGAUGCCUGCAUGGAGAAGUAUGGUGUGGAUGUGCCCAAGUCAAUGGCAUAUAGGGCAAAGAACCUAGCUAUUGAUGUUGUGCUAGGAGACCACAAGAAGCAAUACCCUAGGUUGAAAGACUAUGCUCAGAUAGUGAUGGAUACAAACCCUAGGAGUAGAGUAGUAGUCACUACUGUAACUCCAACACCCACUGAAAAAAUCCCCCAUCCAGGUCCAAGAUUCCAUGCUAUGUUCUAUUGCAUCAAUGGAGCAAGGGAGGGGUUUCUCAAGGGGUGCAGACCAUUCAUUGGUUAG
Molecule: ribosomal RNA, 927 nt
Filed under: Triticum aestivum (bread wheat)
Lineage: Eukaryota; Viridiplantae; Streptophyta; Magnoliopsida; Poales; Poaceae
Description: partial small subunit ribosomal RNA
Source: RNAcentral